GACGAACGCUGGCGGCGUGCUUAACACAUGCAAGUCGAACGGAAAGGCCCUGCUUUUGCGGGGUGCUCGAGUGGCGAACGGGUGAGUAACACGUGAGUAACCUGCCCUUGACUUUGGGAUAACUUCAGGAAACUGGGGCUAAUACCGGAUAGGAGCUCCUGCUGCAUGGUGGUGGUUGGAAAGUUUCGGCGGUUGGGGCUGGACUCGCGGCUUAUCAGCUUGUUGGUGAGGUAGUGGCUUACCAAGGCUUUGACGGGUAGCCGGCCUGAGAGGGUGACCGGCCACAUUGGGACUGAGAGACGGCCCAGACUCCUACGGGAGGCAGCGGUGGGGAGUAUUGCACAAUGGGCGGAAGCCUGAUGCAGAAACGCCGCGUGCGGGAUGACGGCCUUCGGGUUGUAAACCGCUUUCGCCUGUGACGAAGCGUGCGUGACGGUAAUGGGUAAAGAAGCACCGGCUAACUACGUG
This 468-nucleotide ribosomal RNA is filed under the name uncultured bacterium. RNAcentral describes it as "partial 16S ribosomal RNA". It matches the Rfam family "Bacterial small subunit ribosomal RNA", at positions 28 to 507 of the family's 1533-position model. The record is from RNAcentral.